GACGAACGCUGGCGGUAUGCUUAACACAUGCAAGUCGAACGAGAAGUUUUUUAUUGACCCUUCGGGGGAUAUAAGAGACAGACAGUGGCGAACGGGUGAGUAACGCGUGGGCAACCUACCUAUCGGAGCGGGAUAGCCUCGAGAAAUCGGGAGUAAAACCGCAUAACACAGCAGAAUCGCAUGACUUUGCUGUCAAAACUCCGGUGCCGAUAGAUGGGCCCGCGUCUGAUUAGCUAGUUGGUAAGGUAAGGGCUUACCAAGGCAACGAUCAGUAGCCGGUCUGAGAGGGCGAACGGCCACACUGGAACUGAGACACGGUCCAGACUCCUACGGGAGGCAGCAGUGGGGAAUAUUGCGCAAUGGGGGCAACCCUGACGCAGCAAUACCGCGUGAGUGAAGAAGGUUUUCGGAUCGUAAAGCUCUGUUAUUGGGGAAGAAGCAGUGACGGUACCCAAUGAGGAAGUCCCGGCUAACUACGUGCCAGCAGCCGCGGUAAUACGUAGGGGACGAGCGUUGUCCGGAAUCACUGGGCGUAAAGGGCGCGUAGGCGGUUUUAUAAGUCAGAUGUGAAAGGUACCGGCUCAACCGGUGACGUGCAUUUGAAACUGUAAGACUUGAGUACUGAAGAGGCAAGCGGAAUUCCUAGUGUAGCGGUGAAAUGCGUAGAUAUUAGGAAGAACACCGGUGGCGAAGGCGGCUUGCUGGGCAGAUACUGACGCUGAGGUGCGAAAGCGUGGGGAGCGAACAGG
This 749-nucleotide ribosomal RNA is filed under the name uncultured Pseudoramibacter sp. Its description in RNAcentral is "bacterial SSU rRNA". It matches the Rfam family "Bacterial small subunit ribosomal RNA", at positions 28 to 776 of the family's 1533-position model. Lineage: Bacteria; Bacillati; Bacillota; Clostridia; Eubacteriales; Eubacteriaceae. The record is from RNAcentral.